CUACGUGCCAGCAGCCGCGGUAAUACGUAGGGUGCGAGCGUUAAUCGGAAUUACUGGGCGUAAAGCGAGCGCAGACGGUUACUUAAGCAGGAUGUGAAAUCCCCGGGCUCAACCUGGGAACUGCGUUCUGAACUGGGUGACUAGAGUGUGUCAGAGGGAGGUAGAACUCCACGUGUAGCAGUGAAAUGCGUAGAGAUGUGGAGGAAUACCGAUGGCGAAGGCAGCCUCCUGGGAUAACACUGACGUUCAUGCUCGAAAGCGUGGGUAGCAAACAGGAUUAGAUACCCUGGUAGUCCACGCCCUAAACGAUGUCAAUUAGCUGUUGGGCAACUUGAUUGCUUAGUAGCGUAGCUAACGCGUGAAAUUGACCGCCUGGGGAGUACGGUCGCAAGAUUAAAACUCAAAGGAAUUGACGGGGACCCGCACAAGCGGUGGAUGAUGUGGAUUAAUUCGAUGCAACGCGAAGAACCUUACCUGGUCUUGACAU
This 487-nucleotide ribosomal RNA is filed under the name uncultured bacterium. RNAcentral describes it as "bacterial SSU rRNA". It matches the Rfam family "Bacterial small subunit ribosomal RNA", at positions 501 to 987 of the family's 1533-position model. The record is from RNAcentral.